CUUUUCCCAGAGCAACAAUACCAACCCAAAGAUCCGGGGAAAGCUAAAGAAACCCUUCAGCAACAGCCAGGGAAAGAAACUUCCGCCCCACCCCACCUCCAUUAGAUUUUCUCUGAGGACCCUUAAGUAGCAGAGCAUCCAGGGGCCAAAGGAGUCAGGGUAUGAGAGGCUUCCGACUUCUCUCGGGUUGUUCCCGGAUGUUGGAUGCGUGUUGGAGGGGCAGGAUGGCCCCCUUCCCAGGUGUGUGAUCCCGGCUGGGCAGGGCCCUCGCGCCCACCGGCCCUCACCAGUAAGUGAGGAUGAAGGAAAGGGGAACCAACCUCUACCCGUUAUUUUUGGUGAACGUGCGGAAAGGCAGCUCCCUCCCGGUGGAUGUAAGAGGAGGGGUCAUUAUUCACCAGUGUGGGGGAGGGGAGCCAGCCACUCACCAGGGUAAGAGGGACGGGAAAGAAGAGGGACAAGCCAGGGGUGUAAAGAGGACUAGGAGGGUGAGGCGGACUAGUUUCUGAACCCCUCCCCUCUCGCGGGCAAGAGGUGUGGGGAGCGCCUCCCUCCAACCUCUGACCAGACCCACAGAUUCCUCCAAAAACUCCGGGAACUUACACAGGAUCAUCGAUGUGAACAGAAGCAACUGUUUCCGCCCGACUUUCGCCUUUGUCCCCAGCAUGAUCAAGAUCCCAAUACGACAGCAGUCACCGGAGCCCGGGAACAGACACAGCUUCGCCCAACAGGAGCGCGGGGACUAAACUUCAGCGGCCAGGUUGAGCCCAGCCCAGCCCUUCCCUUCAUGCCCGAUUGGUCGGCGCCCUGCCUCUGCACAUUCCGAUUGGUGGAAGGAGCCGCCGCUCCACUGAGUGAUUCACCGUCGCCAGGUGCAACUCCGCCCACUACUCCCCGCUAAGGCUGACUGGCGCCUUUCCAAGACCAAGCCGCCUCUGAUUGGGCCAGGAGACUGCCGCGUAAGGAGACCCCAGAUCUCACCUUCUGCAGCAUUCAAGGCUGCGCUGAGAGGAGAAAAGGGAAAAGGAGCGCUCAAUUCAAUAGUGGGAAAAGAAGAAUCACGUUACCAAACAAAACCCAGGGCUUCCAUGGUGGCGCAGUGGUUGAGAAUCUGCCUGCCAAUGCAGGGGACACGGGUUCAAGCCCUGGUCUGGGAAGAUCCCACAUGCCGCGGAGCAACUAGGCCCGUGAGCCACAACUACUGAGCCUGCGUGUCCGGAGCUUGUGCUCCGCAACAAGAGAGGCCGCGACAGUGAGAGGCCGGCGCACCGCGAUGAAGAGUGGCCCCCUCUCGCCGCAACUAGAGAAAGCCCUCGCACAGAAACGAAGACCCAACACUGCCAAAAAUAAAAAUUAAUUAAUUAAUUAAUUAAAAAAAAAAAAUUUUCCCUUAGCCCUGACAUUUUUUUUUCUUU
Long non-coding RNA from Eubalaena glacialis (North Atlantic right whale), 1415 nucleotides. RefSeq lists it as uncharacterized. NCBI's taxonomy places the organism in Eukaryota, Metazoa, Chordata, Mammalia, Artiodactyla, Balaenidae. The transcript is spliced from 3 exons. The record is from RefSeq and is a predicted model, not a curated record.